AUUGAACGCUGGCGGCAUGCCUUACACAUGCAAGUCGAACGGUAACGGGCCUUCGGGUGCCGACGAGUGGCGAACGGGUGCGUAAUACAUCGGAACGUGCCCGAUCGUGGGGGAUAACGAGGCGAAAGCUUUGCUAAUACCGCAUACGAUCUACGGAUGAAAGCAGGGGACCGCAAGGCCUUGCGCGGACGGAGCGGCCGAUGGCAGAUUAGGUAGUUGGUGGGAUAAAAGCUUACCAAGCCGACGAUCUGUAGCUGGUCUGAGAGGAUGAUCAGCCACACUGGGACUGAGACACGGCCCAGACUCCUACGGGAGGCAGCAGUGGGGAAUUAUGGACAAUGGGCGCAAGCCUGAUCCAGCCAUGCCGCGUGCAGGAUGAAGGCCUUCGGGUUGUAAACUGCUUUUGUACGGAACGAAAAGCCUUCUUUUAAUACAGGAGGGUCAUGACGGUACCGUAAGAAUAAGCACCGGCUAACUACGUG
RNAcentral lists this ribosomal RNA (482 nucleotides) under uncultured bacterium. RNAcentral describes it as "partial 16S ribosomal RNA". It matches the Rfam family "Bacterial small subunit ribosomal RNA", at positions 30 to 507 of the family's 1533-position model. The record is from RNAcentral.